GUGCAGCAGGCGAGAAACCUCCGCAAUACACGAAAGUGUGACGGGGCCAUCCCGAGUGCCGUCCGCUGAGGACGGCUUUUCCCCAGUGUACACAGCUGGGGGAAUAAGGAGAGGGCAAGCCUGGUGUCAGCCGCCGCGGUAAUACCAGCUCUCCGAGUGGUGGGGACGCUUAUUGGGCCUAAAGCAUCCGUAGCCGGCUGGGCAAGUCCUCCGUUAAAUCCAACGAUUCAAUCGUUGGGCUGCGGGGGAUACUGUCCAGCUUGGGGGCGGGAGAGGCCGACGGUAUUCCCGGGGUAGGGGUGAAAUCCUAUAAUCCCGGGAGGACCACCAGUGGCGAAGGCUGUCGGCUAGAACGCGCCCGACGGUAAGGGAUGAAAGCUGGGGGAGCGAACCGGAUUAGAUACCCCGUAGU
This 412-nucleotide ribosomal RNA is filed under the name uncultured microorganism. RNAcentral describes it as "bacterial SSU rRNA". It matches the Rfam family "Archaeal small subunit ribosomal RNA", at positions 330 to 745 of the family's 1478-position model. The record is from RNAcentral.